CCUACGGGGGGCAGCAGUCGAGAAUUUUUCUCAAUGGGCGCAAGCCUGAAGGAGCGACGCCGCGUGGGGGAUGAAGGGUUUCGAUCCGUAAACCCCUGUCAUUUGCGAACAAACCCUGAGGUUUAAGAGAUAUCAGGCUGAUUGUAGCGAAAGAGGAAGGGACGGCUAACUCUGUGCCAGCAGCCGCGGUAAUACAGAGGUCCCAAGCGUUGUUCGGAUUCACUGGGCGUAAAGGGUGCGUAGGUGGCUUGGUAAGUUCGAUGUGAAAUCUCCGGGCUUAACCCGGAAAUGGCAUUGAAUACUAUUGAGCUGGAGGUUUGGAGGGGGGACUGGAAUUCUCGGUGUAGCAGUGAAAUGCGUAGAUAUCGAGAGGAACACCAGUGGCGAAGGCGAGUCCCUGGACAACACCUGACACUGAGGCACGAAAGCUAGGGGAGCAAACAGGAUUAGAUACCCGGGUAGUC
Molecule: ribosomal RNA, 464 nt
Filed under: uncultured bacterium
Lineage: Bacteria
Description: bacterial SSU rRNA
Rfam family: Bacterial small subunit ribosomal RNA
Source: RNAcentral